GAAAUAUUUAUUAUUAAGUUACUAACUUAAUUUUUAUUUAAAACAUUAAUUUAUAUUUCU
RNAcentral lists this transfer RNA (60 nucleotides) under Tapena vasava (tawny angle). RNAcentral describes it as "Ctenoptilum vasava (tawny angle) tRNA-Ser". The record is from RNAcentral. Lineage: Eukaryota; Metazoa; Arthropoda; Insecta; Lepidoptera; Hesperiidae.